Phoenix dactylifera (date palm) is the source of this 85-nucleotide small nucleolar RNA. RefSeq annotates it as small nucleolar RNA SNORD34. Lineage: Eukaryota; Viridiplantae; Streptophyta; Magnoliopsida; Arecales; Arecaceae. The record is from RefSeq and is a predicted model, not a curated record.
GAGGCCAAUGAUGUGCAGUAGAUACUUUGCCUACAUUGGUUGAACUAUUUCCAUGAUAUGAAUCUGCUAUUCUACUGAGGCCAUC